AUUGAACGCUGGCGGCAGGCCUAACACAUGCAAGUCGAACGAGUGGCGGACGGGUGAGUAAUGUCUGGGAAACUGCCUGAUGGAGGGGGAUAACUACUGGAAACGGUAGCUAAUACCGCAUACCAUCGGAUGUGCCCAGAUGGGAUUAGCUUGUUGGUGGGGUAAAGGCUCCCCUAGGCGACGAUGCCUAGCUGGUCUGAGAGGAUGACCAGCCACACGGGAACGUAGACACGGUCCAGACUCCUACGGGAGGAAGCAGUGGGGAAUAUUGCACAAUGGGCGCAAGCCUGAUGCAGCCAUGCCGCGUGUAUGAAGAAGGCCUUCGGGUUGUAAAGUACUUUCAGCGGGGAGGCGUUACCCGCAGAAGAAGCACCGGCUAACUAGGUGCCAGCCGCCGCGGUAAUAC
RNAcentral lists this ribosomal RNA (406 nucleotides) under uncultured bacterium. Its description in RNAcentral is "partial 16S ribosomal RNA". It matches the Rfam family "Bacterial small subunit ribosomal RNA", at positions 30 to 526 of the family's 1533-position model. The record is from RNAcentral.